UACGUAGGGUGCAAGCGUUGUCCGGAAUCAUUGGGCGUAAAGCGCGCGUAGGUGGCCAUUUAAGUCCGCUGUGAAAGUCAAAGGCUCAACCUUUGAAAGCCGGUGGAUACUGGAUGGCUAGAGUACGGAAGAGGCGAGUGGAAUUCCUGGUGUAGCGGUGGAAUGCGCAGAUAUCAGGAGGAACACCAAUAGCGAAGGCAGCUCGCUGGGACGGUACUGACGCUGAGACGCGAAAGCGUGGGGAGCGAACAGG
RNAcentral lists this ribosomal RNA (253 nucleotides) under uncultured bacterium. Its description in RNAcentral is "partial 16S ribosomal RNA". It matches the Rfam family "Bacterial small subunit ribosomal RNA", at positions 524 to 776 of the family's 1533-position model. The record is from RNAcentral.